Vigna radiata var. radiata (mung bean) is the source of this 939-nucleotide long non-coding RNA. RefSeq lists it as uncharacterized. The transcript is spliced from 3 exons. The record is from RefSeq and is a predicted model, not a curated record. NCBI's taxonomy places the organism in Eukaryota, Viridiplantae, Streptophyta, Magnoliopsida, Fabales, Fabaceae.
UCAUUUCAUUUCAACUUUUAACCUCUUCUUCUCCCCCUUCUUCGUCGUAGUGGUGUGUUUGUGAAGUUGAUUCGGCGUGGAAAUGAUGGGAAUAGUAAAAGGUUUGAGCAGGAAGAAAGCGUGUUGGUUUGGUUUGGCGGUGACAGUGUUUGGAGUUAGGGCAAAGUGAAGAAGGCCCCUGUCCCUUGCUGAGUUAUUGCAUGGCGACGCUCGCAACUUCUUCCAUAUCAAUGAUGAUCUCAGGGGUUGUAUGAAAAGGCGUGGGUUGCAUUCUAGUAUGGAAUCGCGACUUAGACUUCUCCCCUCACAUUGUUCCCUCCCUUCAACAUAGUCACUGUUCCGCCACCAACGCGCUUCCUGCGUUGAUUACAAACUCCUCUCUGAUCCACGCCAACAAACAUUUCUGCUUUAUUUCAUCAAUUUAACUUGACGUUGGUGGUGAUUCGCAUAUUUGAUCUGUAACAGUAGCGAACGCUCAGAAAAGAAACUUCAUAGGUACUUUAUACUCAACUCCAAGGUUACCUACCAAUCAUAAUUUCUAUCAAUAAUAGUUCACAUAGCCUCUAGGUCAUCAAAUAUGAUUUUUAUUCAUGGCAUGUGUAAUCCAAAACAAAAUCAAACAUUGUAACCUAUGCAUAAAAAUAAGAAUGAGAAUACACAGAGACUAGAAAAUAGAGAAAGAUUAAACAAGAAUGACGUAAACCCCUUGUCUUAAUGAGAUGGCUGAUUUAGGAUAUGUAGGGUUAGAAUUAGGGAAUUUGAAAAAUUAGUCAGAUAGGAGUUGAUGUAACAACUUUUCCAUUCCAAUCAAUGGAGCACCUUUCUUGCCAACACUCACUCACCUUUAUAUGUAACACCAAAUAACGUUAUAAACAAGCUUCCUUUUUUAAACAUAGGAGUUGAUGUAUUUCAUUCACAUCUACACCAUUUUAUUAAUGU